Vicia villosa (hairy vetch) is the source of this 1048-nucleotide long non-coding RNA. RefSeq lists it as uncharacterized. Lineage: Eukaryota; Viridiplantae; Streptophyta; Magnoliopsida; Fabales; Fabaceae. The record is from RefSeq and is a predicted model, not a curated record. The transcript has 4 exons.
CAGCAAUGUUAUAAACCUCCAUAUUCGAAUUAGAGCUAUGAUAUUAGUCGAACUAUCAUACAAUUGCUCUUUCGGACAGGUUGUGCUUAAUGUUAACAAAUUUAUUGAACCGUGGCUAGCUCUUUCUCUUUAUGAAAAAUUCCCUUCGUUACGUCUUAAUCAAUCUUGCAACUGUAAUGUGACAUAUUCGUACUAUGUUAUAGAUAUGACGCGUCCAAUGGUUUUUUGCAGGUUUGGUAAUGUCGUUGAUUGGAUCAUUACCAAUUCUUGUAAAUCUUGAAAGGCAAAGUCAUGCGAUUACCGGUAUGAUAGUCCGACUAAUAUCACGCAGAUUACUUCAUAUUCCACAUGCAUGGAUAAUUCUUGGAACAGUCUUGCAAUAUUAAUUUUAUCACAGGUUGCCCAAAAUUACACGGAAGAGAUUUUCAACAGUGAAACUUUUGCUUUGAUAACAAUGGAACUUUGUAUACACUACCUUUUUAAAAUAUUUCACAGGUAAUUGAUUUCCUGGGACUAAUAACUUAUUGUAGUUUCUUACUUGAUUGACAUUUUUGCAAAGGAUAUAUACACGAUGUAGCACAAUAAUGGAGUAAUUUACUGUAUUGAGACCAAUGUGUGUCUGUUGUGUAUGAUUCUAGAUAACUGGUUUUUAUUUGAGCUACUCUCAUUUUUUGCAUAUUUAAGGAUGAUUAUAUUACUAACUUGCUCUAAUUAUGAUUACUCAGGAUGACCUAGCAUCCAAAAUCAAAGGUUCCGACAUUAGUUUUAGUUUACUACAAGUGUGUUAAGGAGGCUUCAACUUAGGUUUACUUAUCAGAGGCUAUUGACAUGGUCAACUGUACAACCUUUGUUAAAGAGAAUAAGUGACAAUGAUGUUGUGCUAGAUGAUAUAUUUAGAAUUUUCAUGGUAGAUGAUUCCAUCAGUUUAUAGCAAGAGAUCAUUGAGGAUGAGAGCUUCCAAUCAAAAGGAAAAUAAAAUAGCUUCAAAGUGUCACCAGUUAUGAAGCUCAAUUUAAAGAUUUCCUCAUGUAACUGUACUGGAAGAUGA